This 752-nucleotide ribosomal RNA is filed under the name Bacillus amyloliquefaciens. Its description in RNAcentral is "bacterial SSU rRNA". It matches the Rfam family "Bacterial small subunit ribosomal RNA", at positions 49 to 783 of the family's 1533-position model. The record is from RNAcentral. Lineage: Bacteria; Bacillati; Bacillota; Bacilli; Caryophanales; Bacillaceae.
CUAUACAUGCAAGUCGAGCGGACAGAUGGGAGCUUGCUCCCUGAUGUUAGCGGCGGACGGGUGAGUAACACGUGGGUAACCUGCCUGUAAGACUGGGAUAACUCCGGGAAACCGGGGCUAAUACCGGAUGGUUGUCUGAACCGCAUGGUUCAGACAUAAAAGGUGGCUUCGGCUACCACUUACAGAUGGACCCGCGGCGCAUUAGCUAGUUGGUGAGGUAACGGCUCACCAAGGCGACGAUGCGUAGCCGACCUGAGAGGGUGAUCGGCCACACUGGGACUGAGACACGGCCCAGACUCCUACGGGAGGCAGCAGUAGGGAAUCUUCCGCAAUGGACGAAAGUCUGACGGAGCAACGCCGCGUGAGUGAUGAAGGUUUUCGGAUCGUAAAGCUCUGUUGUUAGGGAAGAACAAGUGCCGUUCAAAUAGGGCGGCACCUUGACGGUACCUAACCAGAAAGCCACGGCUAACUACGUGCCAGCAGCCGCGGUAAUACGUAGGUGGCAAGCGUUGUCCGGAAUUAUUGGGCGUAAAGGGCUCGCAGGCGGUUUCUUAAGUCUGAUGUGAAAGCCCCCGGCUCAACCGGGGAGGGUCAUUGGAAACUGGGGAACUUGAGUGCAGAAGAGGAGAGUGGAAUUCCACGUGUAGCGGUGAAAUGCGUAGAGAUGUGGAGGAACACCAGUGGCGAAGGCGACUCUCUGGUCUGUAACUGACGCUGAGGAGCGAAAGCGUGGGGAGCGAACAGGAUUAGAU